This 301-nucleotide ribosomal RNA is filed under the name uncultured bacterium. RNAcentral's name for it is "partial 16S ribosomal RNA". It matches the Rfam family "Bacterial small subunit ribosomal RNA", at positions 509 to 809 of the family's 1533-position model. The record is from RNAcentral.
CAGUAGCCGCGGUAAAACGAAGGGUGCAAGCGUUACUCGGAAUUACUGGGCGUAAAGCGUGCGUAGGUGGUGGUUUAAGUCCGUUGUGAAAGCCCUGGGCUCAACCUGGGAAUUGCAGUGGAUACUGGGUCACUAGAGUGUGGUAGAGGAUAGUGGAAUUUCCGGUGUAGCAGUGAAAUGCGUAGAGAUCGGAAGGAACAUCUGUGGCGAAGGCGACUAUCUGGGCCAACACUGACACUGAGGCACGAAAGCGUGGGGAGCAAACAGGAUUAGAUACCCGUGUAGUCCCUGUCUCUUAUAA